UGGGUAGUAUCCUUAGGAACUGCACCUUAUAUUAUCAUAGUAUAAUUUAAUAUUGUUCUGCCUUGAUCCGAUACGGACGGGGACAGAGGG
The sequence is a regulatory RNA element, 90 nucleotides long. It matches the Rfam family "pan motif". The record is from Rfam.